RNAcentral lists this transfer RNA (65 nucleotides) under Lixus subtilis. RNAcentral describes it as "tRNA-Cys". Lineage: Eukaryota; Metazoa; Arthropoda; Insecta; Coleoptera; Curculionidae. The record is from RNAcentral.
GGUUAAGUAGUCUAAAUUUAAGGAUAUUAAAUUGCAAGUUUAAUGGUGAAAAUUUUCUUUAACUU